Molecule: ribosomal RNA, 484 nt
Filed under: uncultured bacterium
Lineage: Bacteria
Description: partial 16S ribosomal RNA
Rfam family: Bacterial small subunit ribosomal RNA
Source: RNAcentral
GACGAACGCUGGCGGCGUGCUUAACACAUGCAAGUCGAACGAUGAAGCUGGAGCUUGCUCUGGCGGAUUAGUGGCGAACGGGUGAGUAACACGUGAGAAAUCUGCCCUUGACUCUGGGAUAACUGCGGGAAACUGUAGCUAAUACCGGAUACUUUCCCUGGUGGGCAUCCACUGGGGAAGAAAGAAUUUCAGUCAAGGAUGAUCUCGCGGCCUAUCAGCUUGUUGGUGAGGUAAUGGCUCAGCAAGGCGACGACGGGUAGCCGGCCUGAGAGGGUGACCGACCACACUGGGACUGAGACACGGCCCAGACUCCUACGGGAGGCAGCAGUGGGGAAUAUUGCACAAUGGGCGCAAGCCUGAUGCAGCAACGCCGCGUGAGGGAUGAAGGCCUUCGGGUUGUAAACCUCUUUUAGCAGGGAAGAAGCGAAAGUGACGGUACCUGCAGAAAAAGCACCGGCUAACUACGUGCCAGCCGCCGCGGUAA